This 275-nucleotide ribosomal RNA is filed under the name uncultured prokaryote. RNAcentral's name for it is "partial 16S ribosomal RNA". It matches the Rfam family "Bacterial small subunit ribosomal RNA", at positions 524 to 798 of the family's 1533-position model. The record is from RNAcentral.
UACGGAGGAUCCGAGCGUUAUCCGGAUUUAUUGGGUUUAAAGGGUGCGCAGGCGGGAGAUUAAGUCGGCGGUGAAAUUUUGCAGCUCAACUGUAAAAGUGCCUUCGAAACUGGUUUCCUUGAGUGUAGAUGAAGUAGGCGGAAUUUGUGGUGUAGCGGUGAAAUGCUUAGAUAUCACGAGGAACUCCGAUUGCGCAGGCAGCUUACUAAACCACUACUGACGCUCAGGCACGAAGGCGUGGGGAUCAAACAGGAUUAGAUACCCCUGUAGUCCCU